UAGGAAUCUUGCGCAAUGGGCGAAAGCCUGACGCAGCGACGCCGCGUGGAGGAGGAAGUCCUUCGGGAUGUAAACUCCUUUUUCCAGGGAAGAAUGGGGGCAACCCUUUGACGGUACCUGGUGAAUAAGCCCCGGCUAACUCCGUGCCAGCAGCCGCGGUAAGACGGAGGAUGCAAGUGUUAUCCGGAAUCACUGGGCGUAAAGCGUCUGUAGGUGGUUUAAAAAGUCCACUGUUAAAGAUUGAAGCUUAACUUCAAAAAUGCCGUGGAAACUUUUAAACUUGAGUAUGAUAGGGGUAGAGGGGAUUUCCAGUGGAGCGGUGAAAUGCGUAGAUAUUGGAAAGACCACCAAUGGCGAAGGCACUCUACUGGGCCAUUACUGACACUGAGAGACGAAAGCUAGGGGAGCAAAU
This 412-nucleotide ribosomal RNA is filed under the name uncultured bacterium. Its description in RNAcentral is "bacterial SSU rRNA". It matches the Rfam family "Bacterial small subunit ribosomal RNA", at positions 356 to 773 of the family's 1533-position model. The record is from RNAcentral.